GACGAACGCUGGCGGCGUGCUUAACACAUGCAAGUCGAACGAAGCUUGAUGAUUGAUUCCUUCGGGAUGAUAUUUGAUAUGACUGAGUGGCGGACGGGUGAGUAACGCGUGAGGAACCUGCCUUUCAGAGGGGGACAACGUUUGGAAACGAACGCUAAUACCGCAUAACAUUGCCGAGUGGCAUCGCUUGGCAAUCAAAGAUUUAUCGCUGAAAGAUGGCCUCGCGUCCAAUUAGCUUGUUGGUGAGGUAACGGCCCACCAAGGCGACGAUUGGUAGCCGGACUGAGAGGUUGAACGGCCACAUUGGGACUGAGACACGGCCCAGACUCCUACGGGAGGCAGCAGUGGGGAAUAUUGCACAAUGGGCGCAAGCCUGAUGCAGCAACGCCGCGUGGAGGAAGACGGUUUUCGGAUUGUAAACUCCUGUUCUUAGUGACGAAGAAGUGACGGUAGCUAAGGAGCAAGCCACGGCUAACUACGUGCCAGCAGCCGCGGUAAUACGUAGGUGGCGAGCGUUGUCCGGAUUUACUGGGUGUAAAGGGAGCGCAGGCGGGAAGACAAGUCAGCUGUGAAAUCUAUGGGCUCAACCCAUAAACUGCAGUUGAAACUGUUUUUCUUGAGUGGAGUAGAGGCAAGCGGAAUUCCGAGUGUAGCGGUGAAAUGCGUAGAUAUUCGGAGGAACACCAGUGGCGAAAGGCGGCUUGCUGGGCUCUAACUGACGCUGAGCUCGAAAGUGUGGGGAGCAAACAUGAUUAGAUACCCUGGUAGUCCACACUGUAAACGAUGAUUACUAAGUGGUGGGGGGGUUCUUGA
RNAcentral lists this ribosomal RNA (813 nucleotides) under uncultured bacterium. Its description in RNAcentral is "bacterial SSU rRNA". It matches the Rfam family "Bacterial small subunit ribosomal RNA", at positions 28 to 836 of the family's 1533-position model. The record is from RNAcentral.